This is a long non-coding RNA of Polypterus senegalus (gray bichir), 395 nucleotides long. RefSeq lists it as uncharacterized. NCBI's taxonomy places the organism in Eukaryota, Metazoa, Chordata, Cladistia, Polypteriformes, Polypteridae. The transcript is spliced from 3 exons. The record is from RefSeq and is a predicted model, not a curated record.
AAAGAAUUUACCACCAGUGGCACUCUUAAACGGCACGCAAGAAUUCACACUGGACUCAAGCCGUAUUGCUGUUCUGAAUGUGCUCACCAGGAUGAGAUCAAACACCUCCUUUUAUCUGCGACCCGGGAGCAAUUCUGGUGAUAGGGCGUAGCCCGCUGGAAGCACUUUCGGGUCACAUGGAAGUCGUUGAAAGUAAGGAUUGUGAAUCCCUGCAGCUUUACCAAGAUGGGUCCAGCUGCAGACCUCCACAGCUCCGCGAUUCAAUAGCUUCACUGGACAACCAAUUGGAUUGCAGGUUGAGAACCACUGGCCUCUGUUUUGUGUGCUGGGGGUCUAGGAAAGGUGUAAAGCACCUACUCAAAGCAUCAUGAUGUUCCAACAAUUAUGGAUGGAUC